Leopardus geoffroyi (Geoffroy's cat) is the source of this 1641-nucleotide long non-coding RNA. RefSeq lists it as uncharacterized. The record is from RefSeq and is a predicted model, not a curated record. The transcript has 3 exons. Lineage: Eukaryota; Metazoa; Chordata; Mammalia; Carnivora; Felidae.
UCCAUGCACUCAGCUUUCCCAUCUGUGAAAUACAACAAUUGGACACCAUGUAUUUUGCAACUUGCCUAUUCAUAAAUAUCUUAUUGAACACUUGUUAUUAAAUCCAGAUUUCCAUAUUGCUUCCUUGGAGAUGCUGGCUGAGUAAGUCUAGCAGUAACGUCCAAGGAUCUGCAUUUUAACAAAUGACCCAGGAAAGCCUCUAUAAACAUCAAUUUAGGAGACACUGGAACUCAUGACAUCUAAAAGGUCUUCCAGGUCUGUAUUCUCCAGAAGCCAGCUGGUCACUAUUAAGCUUCCACUCCCUACAUAGUCCUGCUAGAUCAUCAAGAUCAUAGGAGUAAUAGCUACUAUUUCUAUAGUGCCAGCCACUAUUCUAAAUGCUUCCCAUACAUGAACUAUUUUAGUCUUCACAAUAAACCUAUAAGGCGGGUACUAUUAUCUUUAAAAAUUUUUUAAUGUUUAUUUAUUUUUGAGAGACAGAGAGAGACCGAGUGCAGGGGAGGGGCAGACAGAGAGGGAGACACAGAAUCUGAAACAGGCUUCAGGCUUUGAGCUAUCAGUACAGAGCCCGACACAGGUCUCAAACUUGGGAACGGCGAGACCAUGACGUGAGCUGAAACCUGAUGCUCACCCGACUGAGCCACCCAGGCGCCCCACACAGGGUUAAAUUUUACUAAGAGACUUACAUGGGGUUAAAUUUACUAAGAGUUACUAAGUGAACUCAAGUUCACAUCCUAAAGGAAUUUCUUUGGCUCUUGUGUUUGAGAGGAAAUUGCUCAAUGUUCCUGAAUUAUCCUUACUAAUAGCUCAGCCACACUUAAAGAGCUGAAUAUAGUAAUGCAUGAUUAAUUUGGACCUGUUAAAAAGAGAGAUUGCAUUAAUUUGGGAGGGGUCAGAUUCACUGGACCUUUUUAAUAGAGAUAUUUUUCCCCUGUGCAAUAAUAAUAUAUUCUAAUCACAAAUUAAGGCCAAUUUUUAGAUCCAGGCUUUUAGCUUUGAUAUGGGUUGAGAUGCACUGUAAAAUCUCCCAAUCACCUAUGCCCUGGCCCAUCAUUACCAAUUGUUAGGGAUUUUUUUCCUCUGGUUUAACAAGCAUUCUUGUUCUGAAUUUAAAUAACUAAUGGAAAAGAGAAGGAAAUAACUGAUAUUAAAACACACAGAAAAGAACACAACCAAUGCAAUGAUUUUCCCAGUUCUUUAUCAUAUCAUUUAUUCAUCAUGAUCAUAACCUUGGAGGUAGAUAAUAUUAGCCCUACCUUAAAGGUGAAGAUAGGGGAUCACAAAGCUACUAGAUGAUAACACCAGCUUUGAGAACAGGUGUCGAACCUCCAGAUCAAGAAGCUGCCUUUAUUACAUCAGGCAGCAUCUUCUUUCAAAGGCAGUACACUUGAAGGAGGCCACAUGUUUGUCACACUAGGGAAUAAAUGAUGUAAUGGGGAAAAGAGUACUUUCAAGUCCACUGGACUGAAUUUGAAUCAAAAAUGCAUCUCUCUAACUAAAUGUAUAACCUUGAGCCAAGUCUCUUAAUCUCUCUGUGGCUGUUUCCCCACCUAUGAAAGAGAAUACCAUCGAUUCCCUCCCUAUGAGGAGUAACUGAAAUUACGAGGUAACAAUUAGGGCACCUGGUGGCUCGGUCGAUUA